CCUGGCUCAGGAUGAACGCUAGCGGGAGGCCUAACACAUGCAAGUCGAACGGGAUUGGGAGCUUGCUCCCAUGGGAGUGGCGCACGGGUGAGUAACGCGUAUGCAACCUACCUUUAACUGAGGGAUAGCCCAUAGAAAUGUGGAUUAAUACCUCAUAGUUCUUAUUAGCCGCAUGGUUUGAUAAGAUAAAGCUCCGGCGGUUAAAGAUGGGCAUGCGUGACAUUAGCUAGUUGGUAAGGUAACGGCUUACCAAGGCUACGAUGUCUAGGGGUUCUGAGAGGAUGAUCCCCCACACUGGUACUGAGACACGGACCAGACUCCUACGGGAGGCAGCAGUGAGGAAUAUUGGUCAAUGGGCGCAAGCCUGAACCAGCCAUCCCGCGUGCAGGAUGAAGGCCCUAUGGGUCGUAAACUGCU
This 417-nucleotide ribosomal RNA is filed under the name uncultured Bacteroidota bacterium. RNAcentral's name for it is "bacterial SSU rRNA". It matches the Rfam family "Bacterial small subunit ribosomal RNA", at positions 18 to 434 of the family's 1533-position model. Lineage: Bacteria; Pseudomonadati; Bacteroidota. The record is from RNAcentral.